GCGGGAAUCGAACCCACAACCUUCUGCUUACCGGGCAGGUGCCAUGUCCACUAGGUCU
RNAcentral lists this transfer RNA (58 nucleotides) under Cordylochernes scorpioides. RNAcentral describes it as "tRNA-Thr". Lineage: Eukaryota; Metazoa; Arthropoda; Arachnida; Pseudoscorpiones; Chernetidae. The record is from RNAcentral.